UUGUUGCUGUGGACAAUGCCUGUGACGCUGAAUGGAAGGGGUACCCCGUGCUAGACAUCGGGGGUCCGCAAGGACGAGGCCAUUUACGAUGCUGAAGUCCUCGGAAGUUCAGUCAAGAAAAACCAGGCGGCGGUUGAAACAGCGCGUCCGUACUAAAACUGACACAGGUAGGCGAGAUGGGUAUUCUCAGGCGCUCGAGAAAACGCUCGUGAAGGAACUCUGCAAGUUGGCCCCGUAACUUCGGGAGAAGGGGCACCGCACGUAAGGUGUAACAGCCUGAAGCGGUCACAGUGACUAGGCUCUCGCGACUGUUUACUAAAAACACAGGACUCUGCGAACUCGUAAGAGGACGUAUAGAGUCUGACGCCUGCCCGGUGUCGGUAAGUUAAGGAAGGGGGUCAGGGCGUAAGCUCGAAGCUCGCAACCGAAGCUCCGAUAAACGGCGGCCGUAACUAUGACGGUCCUAAGGUAGCGAAGUUCCUUGUCGGGUAAGUUCCGACCUGCAUGAAUGGCGUAACGACGGGAGCACUGUCUCCACGAGCGACUCGGUGAAACUGUAGUCGAAGUGAAGAUGCUUCGUACCCGCAGCUAGACGGAAAGACCCCGUGAACCUUUACUGCAGCUUAGUAUUGGGUUUAGGCCCAAUAUGCGUAGAGUAGCUGGGAGGCUGUAAACCGCGCAUCUCGGUGCGCGGGGAGCCGACAAUGAAACACCAGCCUUGUUGUGCUUGAAUUCUAACCCCGAUCCGUGAAUCCGGACGGUGGACAGUGCUAAGUGGGCAGUUUGACUGGGGCGGUCUCCUCCUAAAAGGUAACGGAGGAGUUCAAAGGCACCCUCAACCCGGUUGGCAAUCAGGUGACGAGCGCAAGGGCAUAAGGGUGCUUAACUGCGAGACCUAUAAGUCAAGCAGAUGCGAAAGCAGGACCUAGUGAUCCGGCGGUGCCGGAUGGAAGGGCCGUCGCUCAACAGAUAAAAGGUACUCCGGGGAUAACAGGCUUAUCUCCUCUGAGCGUUCAUAGCGGCGGGGAGGUUUGGCACCUCGAUGUCGGCUCAUCGCAUCCUGGGGGUGGAGAAGCUCCCAAGGGUUUGGCUGUUCGCCAAUGAAAGCGGUACGUGAGCUGGGUUUAGACCGUCGUGAGACAGGUCGGUCCCUAUCUGCUGUGGGCGUAGAAGUCUUGAGAGGCCCUCUCUCUAGUACGAGAGGAUUGAGAGGGACGUACCUCUGGUGUUCCAGUUGUCGCGCUAGCGGCAUCGCUGGGUAGCUAUGUACGGUCGGGAUAAACGCUGAAAGCAUCUAAGCGUGAAACCCUCCUUAAGAUUAGGACUUCCUGCCGCAAGGCGAGAGGCUCCUGGAAGACUACCAGGUCGAUAGGCCGGGUGUGUAAAGCCAGUAAUGGCAAAGCUAACCGGUACUAAUAGCCGAGCGCUUGGCCGC
RNAcentral lists this ribosomal RNA (1435 nucleotides) under metagenome. RNAcentral's name for it is "bacterial LSU rRNA". It matches the Rfam family "Bacterial large subunit ribosomal RNA", at positions 1449 to 2925 of the family's 2925-position model. The record is from RNAcentral.